Molecule: long non-coding RNA, 977 nt
Organism: Micropterus salmoides (largemouth bass)
Lineage: Eukaryota; Metazoa; Chordata; Actinopteri; Centrarchiformes; Centrarchidae
Exons: 2
Source: RefSeq, a predicted model, not a curated record
AAAGGUAUUUGAAGGGACACAUGUCCAUUUUAAUUAGCGCCGCAAAGUCUCUGAGCUGUAAUAAAAACUCCCAGGACAGUGGAAAAUGAUAUUGUGCCAUUUCCAGAGAUAAGUGCUUUUCCAGUCUUUGGCUUGAACAAAAAUAGGUUGCGUUGGAGCUCCAGUUAAUGUUUAUCUGGCCCACAGCACUGUUUUACUAUUCUGUGUUGUCUAGACGAAGGCAUUUCAACACAUUUGUUUACAGUCUUUGACCUGUGCCGGCUCUUUCUUAAGCUUAACCAAUAAAGUUAGAGCAUAGAGUUUUUAUUUCCCUGCUUAGACAUAUUUUUGAGCCCAAUCUUUGUUGACAUCUUGGAACAUUUUAGAGGGCAAUGUUGGUGCACCCUGAUGCCAACACUGAGGGUCCUCAAAAUGUGAGACGGAUGUGUUGAACGUGCUUCGCCGCGCUAUGGAGUGACGUCCACCGUGAUGUAUUGCACAUGUGUUGCAUUGAAAUUCUUCUGCCAGCGUUCUCCUGCCACAGACUGAGGAGGCUUGUGAUGAAUGACCCUUCAUGUCACAGACGACCUUUGGACAAACAGGUUAAAAAUAUCAUCCAAUCACAGGCUUGUUUGGAGAGAGACAAGACUGAGUAGGUGAAGCAGGAGAAGGGUAGGUUUUGUAAUUUUGAACUCACUAAAGGACAGACAGAGAGUAAAGAUCUACUCGGGUACAUAAAACACACCCACCUCGUAUCAACAAAGAUGACCCUCUGGAGAUAUCUGCCCCCUGGGCCAUCAAACGCACCAGCCUGCGUCAUCCCUGUUGUCAUCUCAACAGGAUUAGGCAAUCACAGCUCUUCCGUGCCACAUCAAAACAGAAGAUGCAUGCAGAGAACGUCUGAUGGCUGCCAUUUAUGUCUUGACUUGUCAGCAGAGAAUCGCUGAAGAACAUUUGUUCACACUCAUCAGUUGAAAAUAAAUAGAUACACCCCUUUU